This 251-nucleotide ribosomal RNA is filed under the name uncultured prokaryote. RNAcentral describes it as "partial 16S rRNA". It matches the Rfam family "Bacterial small subunit ribosomal RNA", at positions 525 to 775 of the family's 1533-position model. The record is from RNAcentral.
ACGUAAGUGGCAAGCGUUAUCCGGAAUCACUGGGUGUAAAGGGUGUGUAGGCGGUCAUAAAAGUUUUGUGUUUAAAUUCAGGGCUCAACCCUGAAACGGCCUGAAGGACUGUAUUGCUAGAGUGACAAAGAGGAAACUGGAACUCCAGGUGUAGCGGUGAAAUGUGUAGAUAUCUGGGGGAACACCAGUGGCGAAGGCAGCUUUCUGGUUGGCAACUGACGCUGAGGCGCGAAAGCGUGGGGAUCAAACAG